Molecule: ribosomal RNA, 252 nt
Filed under: uncultured prokaryote
Description: partial 16S rRNA
Rfam family: Bacterial small subunit ribosomal RNA
Source: RNAcentral
ACCGGCAGCUCAAGUGGUGGCCAUUUUUAUUGGGCCUAAAGCGUUCGUAGCCGGUUUGAUAAGUCUCUGGUGAAAUCCCGCAGCUUAACUGUGGGACUUGCUGGAGAUACUAUUAGACUUGAGGUCAGGAGAGGUUAGGGGUACUCCCAGUGUAGGGGUGAAAUGCGUAAAUACUAGGAGGAACACCAGUGGCGAAGGCGGCUUACUGGACUGAACCUGACGCUGAGGUACGAAAGCGUGGGGAGCAAACCG